Molecule: ribosomal RNA, 459 nt
Filed under: uncultured bacterium
Lineage: Bacteria
Description: partial 16S ribosomal RNA
Rfam family: Bacterial small subunit ribosomal RNA
Source: RNAcentral
CCUACGGGUGGCAGCAGUGAGGAAUAUUGGUCAAUGGCCGGAAGGCUGAACCAGCCAAGCCGCGUGAAGGACGAAGGUGCCAAGCAUUGUAAACUUCUUUUGUCAAGGGACAAAAUCAGGCUCGAGAGCCUGACCGAGGGUACUUGAAGAAAAAGCAUCGGCUAACUCCGUGCCAGCAGCCGCGGUAAUACGGAGGAUGCGAGCGUUAUCCGGAUUUAUUGGGUUUAAAGGGUGCGUAGGCGGACUGUUAAGUCAGCGGUAAAAGCCCGGGGCUCAACCCCGGCGAGCCGUUGAAACUGGCUGGCUUGAGAGGGCGAGAGGUAGGCGGAAUGCGUAGUGUAGCGGUGAAAUGCUUAGAUAUGGCGAAGAACUCCGAUUGCGAAGGCAGCAUACCGGCGGGGAUCUGACGCUGAGGCACGAAAGCGCGGGUAUCGAACAGGAUUAGAUACCCGUGUAGUC